CGACUCUCGGCAACGGAUAUCUCGGCUCUCGCAUCGAUGAAGAACGUAGCGAAAUGCGAUACUUGGUGUGAAUUGCAGAAUCCCGUGAACCAUCGAGUCUUUGAACGCAAGUUGCGCCCGAGGCCUCCUGGUCGAGGGCACGUCUGCCUGGGUGUCACG
This 159-nucleotide ribosomal RNA is filed under the name Populus deltoides. RNAcentral describes it as "5.8S ribosomal RNA". It matches the Rfam family "5.8S ribosomal RNA". Rfam says of the family: 5.8S ribosomal RNA (5.8S rRNA) is a component of the large subunit of the eukaryotic ribosome. It is transcribed by RNA polymerase I as part of the 45S precursor that also contains 18S and 28S rRNA. Functionally, it is thought that 5.8S rRNA may be involved in ribosome translocation. The record is from RNAcentral. Lineage: Eukaryota; Viridiplantae; Streptophyta; Magnoliopsida; Malpighiales; Salicaceae.